ACGGGAGGCAGCAGUGAGGAAUAUUGGUCAAUGGGCGAGAGCCUGAACCAGCCAAGUAGCGUGAAGGAUGACUGCCCUAUGGGUUGUAAACUUCUUUUGUUCGGGAAUAAAGGAGCCUACGCGUAGGCUUUUGCAUGUACCGUUCGAAUAAGCAUCGGCUAAUUCCGUGCCAGCAGCCGCGGUAAUACGGAAGAUGCGAGCGUUAUCCGGAUUUAUUGGGUUUAAAGGGAGCGUAGGCGGCCUUUUAAGUCAGCGGUAAAAUGUCAGCGCCCAACGCUGGCCUGCCGUUGAUACUGAUGGGCUUGAAUACACACAAGGAAGGUGGAAUUCGUCGUGUAGCGGUGAAAUGCUUAGAUAUGACGAAGAACACCGAUUGCGUAGGCAGCAGACCAGGCCGUAAAUGACGCUCAUGCACGAAAGUGCGGGGAUCGAACAGGAUUAGAUACCCUGGUA
This 453-nucleotide ribosomal RNA is filed under the name uncultured Paraprevotella sp. RNAcentral describes it as "bacterial SSU rRNA". It matches the Rfam family "Bacterial small subunit ribosomal RNA", at positions 341 to 792 of the family's 1533-position model. Lineage: Bacteria; Pseudomonadati; Bacteroidota; Bacteroidia; Bacteroidales; Prevotellaceae. The record is from RNAcentral.